Molecule: long non-coding RNA, 187 nt
Organism: Nanorana parkeri
Lineage: Eukaryota; Metazoa; Chordata; Amphibia; Anura; Dicroglossidae
Exons: 3
Source: RefSeq, a predicted model, not a curated record
ACGUGGAGUUACCAAAAGUCCCAAAUAAAUAGACAAUUAAAGACCACUAGCAAUGUCCCUCCAGCACUUGUCAAGAAUAAACUUAAAGAUUAUUUAUCAAGCAGAAUUUACAGAAGACCAUUUUAUUCUGUCUUUCCAUGUUCAACAAAGACACCAAGUACUGAAGAAACUCAAAUGGUAAAGACCU